GCAAACUGAGAACUUCUCCGAGCUGCUGAUUUAAUUUCCUGUUUUCUCUUUGAGGAGACACUCCCUAACUUCUUUCUACUUCUCUGCACUGUCUGAAGUUGACAGCCAUAUUGCGCACUCAGACUCUGUCGCUUAAACCUGAUCAAUAAAUCUCUGUCAGCUUAUCAGCUCCUGUGUUCAAAACGAGAGAAGAAAACUUCAAGAAAAGGUUUAAAGAAUGUCUGACACUGCAAAGUAUGAAGAAACAUUAUGAGUGCAACCUCCCUGAUUUGGAGCAUUAAGUGAGAGAACCACUGAGUAGCCAGCUAUUUACCUGCUAUAGAUUUGUAAUCCACAGAAGAAGGUACAAGAAGGAGACUGAGAAUUAAAAUUGAUAAGUCGAGGUGCUUCAGAGUAUAGAAAUAUACCUUACGGAUUAUUCAUUUUUAUUACUGGCAAUUUACACAAUUGUUUAAAUUCUUACAUCAUCAUGGAUGACACCUACUUUCUUGAGAUGACCAACCAUCUUCAUCAACUGGAAAAAAUAAGAAACACCCCAGAAUUGAGGACUAACCUGAUUUACCAGAAGUUUUCAGCCCCUUUUCUGAAGACAUUUUCAGAACAUCAGGAAGCUCUGGAAGAAUGUCUUGGAAACAUAGAGGAGAUUGCGUCUGCAAUGGACACAGUAAAAAGAAAUGUCUCGAUUGUCAACAUGUCAUCAGGCACUGUUGGCAUAGCAGGCAGUGUGCUGUGUAUCACUGGCCUGGCCUUGGCACCUGUCACACUUGGAGUCUCCUCAAUACUCAGUAUAGUAGGAACUGCAGUUGGAGCAGGUGCAGGUGUGGGAGAUUUAAUAGCAAACAUCGCCACAUGGUCUUGUAAUGUAAUAAAGAAGACUAAAGUUAAGGAAAUCCUGAACAAGUAUAAAAAGAUGAUAGAGCCUAUUGAAAAAAGUCUUAGAAAACAAGAACUAGUUUUCAAUAAGGUGUCGGAAAUAUGUAAACCGGAAUAUUUAAUAAAGAUGAUCCAAAAAACUCAUCUAAAAACAGAUGAGACUGAAAUGUCAUAUGCUGGUUUUAAAGCUGCUAGAUCAGGAGUGGGGUUAGGCGGAGCUGCAGUAAACAUAGCAGACGACAUCGCCAAUUUGACCAGAAUUGGAGAUACAGUGAGUGAUGGGGCAGCUGUGGGGCUGAGAGGAACGGGAACAGGGGCACUAAAAAUAUUCGGUGGGGUUUGUAGUAGUGUUUUUAUAGUUUGGGAUCUUUACAGAAUCUGCACAAACAGCAUAGACCUGGCUAAAGGUAAAACGAAUGAAACUGCUGAAAUUAUAAGGAGGACAGUGGCUAAGCUGCGGAAAGAGCUGGAGUCAUACAAACACCUUUAUGAGGUUCUGCAAAAAGGGAAGGAGGAUGAAAUCAACAACCAGAAAGCCUUGUCAAAGGAUUUUAUCCCUCAACAGAUCACAAUGAACUGGAUACAAAUGAGAUCAAUCUCACAAGAGAGAAGCUGUCCAUCAAUGGAACGUCGUUGGAACACCAGGCCGACUUACGCACCUCAGUCAUACCAAAGUAAAUUACAAAUAAUGCCAGCGAUCAAGUUAUUCUCUAGAAUUCUGGCAUCUAAAAGAAGACCCACGGAUCCAAAGAAAACCCACCAAGUCACUGUGAGAGCGCAAAACUUCACACAGCAAGUUAAAUGACCAAAUUCUGAGCCCAAGACCCAGGAGAGGGCCACAUCCUGUCAAUCCUGGAAGCAAGGAGUUGUGAUACAGAUUCCGACUACAUUCAUGAUGGAGAAGAAUGGCUUUACAGAUGUUUUGACGUCAAGAAAUGUUCCAAAUGCAGUUUCAGCUCAGAUUUAGCCUCCUCAAUUACAUAAAGUGAAAUAAAAGCCAGUAAAGAUACAAAAAUACCUUCUAUGCACAACAAACUGUGAACAAAUAGCCCACUGGCUAUAUACUGGCUGAGUGAAUGAUGACUGAAACAAGCCAUUAUGAAGAUCGUUUGAAGAAAUGUUCAGACAGGCCAUAUGUUUCUGGUUUCUCAGACAGAAUGCAAUAAAAUAAGAUGGAUUAACGAGCGGCAGGCAACCCAAGCUAUCCUGAUGCUUCUUAAAGAAACCAUCCCUGAACUUUGACUUAUGAAACAAGCCUUACUAAAGGCUGCUUAAUUAUGUGCUCAAAUAGGAUGCAACUUUAGCUUUUAGAAAUGUUUAUUUGAUACUUUUCGUCUUUUAAUAAAUGGUGUUGCAGAUUUUUUAGCAUUGAAAAACUCUAAAUGUUUAUUUUUACUUUAUUUCUUUUGGAAUUUGAAAAUCUUGUUUAAUAAGCUGGAGUAAAUAAAACUAGCAUGUAACAUCAGCCCAGGAAAGCAACAUAAUUUUGUAAUGUACACAUAUGACUGUGGUUUUGAGAUUAUUGAUAAUUUAUUUAAUCAUUGUCAACUAUUGAACUUGUUUUGUUCAUUGGAUGAAUAAAGUUAUCUAUCACCAUCUG
Molecule: RNA transcript, 2473 nt
Organism: Polypterus senegalus (gray bichir)
Lineage: Eukaryota; Metazoa; Chordata; Cladistia; Polypteriformes; Polypteridae
Exons: 7
Source: RefSeq, a predicted model, not a curated record